AAAGUUCAGGUCAAGAAGUAAACUCAAAUUUUUCGGUGAUGAUAACAUUUUGGAGAAACAGCCGUUGUGCUUUGUACAUGAAAAAGGAACUGUUGCUGAUUAUUUUAAUUCUGAGCUGUGCUGAGAAGUAUUUUGUCAAAUUGGUCGACCCUCUUUACCCUUCCUCGAAAAUGUCUACCGUCACUGGGUCGCAAUCAUGAGCUACACCAUAAAUUAGGCAUGUACCCAACUAUUGGAAGGACAGACUAUUGUUUGGCAUGCAAUAAAACUGGUGGACGAUGUGAUUGGCCCGACCUUUAGAUGUUUCAUUUCACCUAUUUUGCAGAAAACAGUGUGAUGUGGGUGAAUAUCAUUGUAAAUGCAAAGAUUGGGUUAGCCAAUGGACACAUCUUUGUUAAGACUUCUUCUUCUGCAACAUUUAUGAAAAGAACUACAACGACUCAUCCAGAUAGAAACCAUACCUCCACCCAGGAACUAAAUUCCCAAGGUUGAAUAUAAUCACGAAAAGUUGGUCUGAUCAAUCCACUUUUUGGUUCGGACAAGAUCGGACAUAAGAUUAUUUAUAAAACUAAAAAGUUGUAUAGUUCAUUGCACCAGUAGUGAGCUAGACAUGGCAACUGGUCAUGCUUACUAGUAAACUUACAUCCAAAUAUUCUAA
Paramuricea clavata is the source of this 658-nucleotide non-coding RNA. NCBI's taxonomy places the organism in Eukaryota, Metazoa, Cnidaria, Anthozoa, Malacalcyonacea, Plexauridae. The record is from the annotation of a GenBank genome assembly.